Long non-coding RNA from Amblyraja radiata (thorny skate), 622 nucleotides. RefSeq lists it as uncharacterized. The record is from RefSeq and is a predicted model, not a curated record. The transcript has 2 exons. Lineage: Eukaryota; Metazoa; Chordata; Chondrichthyes; Rajiformes; Rajidae.
AUCAGAGUACAAAAGUCCAAACAAUGCACUUUGGUAUCCAAUUAAACAGGAAAUUCAGUGACUACAGCUGAAAGCUAAAGGUUCGGUCAUGGUGGACAGACUCUGGUCAAUUAUGGAAAUAUUUCAAGCACUCCCUCCAUGGUUUCUUAUAUUUGGAAUAUUCAUCCCAGUUUCUCUGCUCUUGUUGCUGAUAAUUGCUUUCUUCAGCCUGGAACUAAUGAAAGUGAACAAUGAAAUAACAAUGAACGAAGAUCUGAAUUACUUUAUUAAAGAACACUUUUUCUCCAAGCAUUCAACUGAAUACAGAGCACAGAAUAAAAUGCAUAACAAUUAAAUCUCUCAAGAGAUACUUACAAAAGUGAACCUGUCAUUAAUGCCUUCAGAAGAAUUGCUUAAGAUGGAACCAACGAGGCAAAAUUACCAAGAUGAACCAUUUGAUACUCUACAGGAGUACCAAACUGUCAAGUAUUAUAUUGGUGGAUAAUUUUACUUCAAUGUUCCAUACAGUUUAUCUCAAACCCAAGAAAAUACAAGAUCUUAUAUUAUAUUUAUUCUUCAGAUCUAUUCAGAUGAAAGAGCUAAAUAUCUGAGAUUUCACAAAAAAUAAAAAGUAUGAAAUUAA